This 421-nucleotide ribosomal RNA is filed under the name uncultured bacterium. RNAcentral describes it as "bacterial SSU rRNA". It matches the Rfam family "Bacterial small subunit ribosomal RNA", at positions 355 to 774 of the family's 1533-position model. The record is from RNAcentral.
UAAGGAAUAUUGGUCAAUGGACGCAAGUCUGAACCAGCCAUGCCGCGUGAAGGAUGAAGGUCCUCUGGAUUGUAAACUUCUUUUAUCUGGGACGAAAACGGGAUUUUUAUCUCAAUUGACGGUACCAGAGGAAUAAGCACCGGCUAACUCCGUGCCAGCAGCCGCGGUAAUACGGAGGGUGCGAGCGUUAUCCGGAUUUACUGGGUUUAAAGGGUGCGUAGGUGGGCUUAUAAGUCAGUGGUGAAAUCUCCGAGCUUAACUUGGAAACUGCCGUUGAUACUAUAGGUCUUGAAUUAUCUGGAGGUUAGCGGAAUGUGUCAUGUAGCGGUGAAAUGCUUAGAUAUGACAUAGAACACCAAUUGCGAAGGCAGCUUACUACAUAUAAAUUGACGCUGAGGCACGAAAGCGUGGGGAUCAAACA